Oncorhynchus keta (chum salmon) is the source of this 151-nucleotide long non-coding RNA. RefSeq lists it as uncharacterized. The record is from RefSeq and is a predicted model, not a curated record. Lineage: Eukaryota; Metazoa; Chordata; Actinopteri; Salmoniformes; Salmonidae. The transcript is spliced from 3 exons.
GUUUAGAGGUUAGACAUGUUUAGAGGUUAGACGUGUUUAGAGGUUAGACGUGUUUAAAGGUUAGACGUGUUUAGAGGUUAGACGUGUUUAGAGGUUAGACGUGUUUAAAGGUUAGACGUGUUUAAAGGUUAGACGUGUUUAAAGGUUAGAC